Molecule: unclassified non-coding RNA, 856 nt
Filed under: Hevea brasiliensis (rubber tree)
Lineage: Eukaryota; Viridiplantae; Streptophyta; Magnoliopsida; Malpighiales; Euphorbiaceae
Source: RNAcentral
GUGCAACAAAUGGCAGGAGACAGGUACAUGCCCAUACGGUGACCACUGCCAGUUUGCUCAUGGCGUUGAAGAGCUCCGCCCAGUUAUCCGCCACCCUCGCUACAAGACUGAGGUUUGCAGAAUGGUCCUUGCUGGUGAUAUCUGUCCUUAUGGCCACCGCUGCCAUUUCCGCCAUGUCCUUACUGAGCAGGAAAGGUUUAUGGGCCACCUGAAGCCGAGGGCAAUCAAGCUUGAGAGGUAAAUAAGAAUGUUGAUCAGAGAACUGCGAAUCUGCGACUGGGGCUAAUGUAGAGAGAUGUUUAUAAUGCUCAAAGAGAAUGGUAAACAAUAAUACCCUUUAAUCUAGUAUAUAAAGGAUGAAUAUGAACGGUGGACAUAUACAUAAUUAGCAUAUAUAAUGACGUAAAAGGAAAGAAAAAAAGAAUUGGAAGAUUUUAUGGACCUGAAUGUGGAGAUUGGAUACGGAUAUUUUAGAGAGAGAUUAUUAGCUCUUCUGAUUAUUUUGUGUUCCACUUUUAUUUCAUUUAUACAUUGGCAUAUGAGACAUCAUGAAUACUUAUAUCGGUAAUGUUUGGUGGUUUGGAUCGAAACCAAGCAACCAAAAGAAACUCUCUGUAAUGAUGUCUUUUGAUUUGGCAAAGCAAGCAAUUUCUGAUUGGAGUUAUAAUUCAAAGCUACUCCUCUCACAUAUGCUCAUUGCCUCAUCAUAUUCUUCUCGAGUAGUGCCAGUGGAAAUUUUUAUUUGUUUAAUGUACUAUAUAAAUAUUAAUUUACUGUUUCAUGACUUCUAUUAAUGAUACAUAUUUCUGUUUUUACUAAUUCUGGUUUUAAUUGAGUUUUGUUGUGAGAAUAUUGG